RNAcentral lists this unclassified non-coding RNA (311 nucleotides) under uncultured fungus. RNAcentral describes it as "partial contains 5.8S ribosomal RNA and internal transcribed spacer 2". The stretch from base 1 to 133 matches the Rfam family "5.8S ribosomal RNA", at positions 22 to 154 of the family's 154-position model. The record is from RNAcentral. Lineage: Eukaryota; Fungi.
UGGUUCUGGCAUCGAUGAAGAACGCAGCGAAAUGCGAUAAGUAAUGUGAAUUGCAGAAUUCAGUGAAUCAUCGAAUCUUUGAACGCACAUUGCGCCCUUUGGUAUUCCGAGGGGCAUGCCUGUUCGAGCGUCAUCUAAACCAUCAAGCACCGCUUGGUCUUGGGCCCGGUCUAGCGACCAGCCCACAACCCCUUGGCGGCACCGUCCGGCUCCGAGCGUAGUAGAAAUUUCGCUCCGGGACGCCGCGGCGGCGCCUGCCGGCAACAGCACACCUAGAGUUUGACCUCGGAUCAGGUAGGGAUACCCGCUGA